This 511-nucleotide ribosomal RNA is filed under the name uncultured soil bacterium. RNAcentral's name for it is "bacterial SSU rRNA". It matches the Rfam family "Bacterial small subunit ribosomal RNA", at positions 35 to 590 of the family's 1533-position model. The record is from RNAcentral.
GCUGGCGGCAGGCCUAACACAUGCAAGUCGAGCGCGUGUAGCAAUACACGAGCGGCAGACGGGAGAGUAACACGUGGGAACGUGCCCUUCGGUUCGGAACAACCCAGGGAAACUUGGGCUAAUACCGGAUACGUCCGUAAGGAGAAAGAUUUAUCGCCGAAGGAUCGGCCCGCGUCUGAUUAGCUAGUUGGUGAGGUAACGGCUCACCAAGGCGACGAUCAGUAGCUGGUCUGAGAGGAUGAUCAGCCUCACUGGGACUGAGACACGGCCCAGACUCCUACGGGAGGCAGCAGUGGGGAAUAUUGGACAAUGGGCGCAAGCCUGAUCCAGCCAUGCCGCGUGGGUGAUGAAGGCCCUAGGGUUGUAAAGCCCUUUCGGCGGGGAAGAUAAUGACGGUACCCGCAGAAGAAGCCCCGGCUAACUUCGUGCCAGCAGCCGCGGUAAUACGAAGGGGGCUAGCGUUGCUCGGAAUCACUGGGCGUAAAGCGCACGUAGGCGGGUCGCUAAGUCG